CUCAGCAUAAUUAUUUACUGAGGUAAAUUGAUUCAAGGUGUGAGAGCUCACAGGGAUCUCUGCAGGGGUAAUAGAUGUAUUAAGGACAGCUGAAAACAGUGGGUAGUGAGGUGUUCUGGGGCUGGAGAGAAGGGAUAUGUGGUGAGGAGGUAUGUGACAGUGGAGGCUGGAAAAGGAAGAUUUUGAGGAGCAGGUGCUGGUCUGAACUACUGAGCACAAAUUUGGAGCUCUGCCAGCUGAAGACAUGGAGCAAAAUCCUGUAGCUUCAGUUCCCUGGAAUAGCUUUACCCCUAUCUGCUUAAGAUCCUGUGCAUAUCAGGAGAAAAUGAUGAGGUGAUGAAAAGGGAAGAAGCUGAAGGGUUGAGGCUUACAGUUAGGUAAAAUGAUGACCUUGUCACCUAUCAGUGUCCAGAGCUCACUCCCUUGAAUAUUUGUCUCACUAAUAUUAUGCUCUCUUAUUUCCAGGCAUC
Molecule: long non-coding RNA, 470 nt
Organism: Cyanistes caeruleus (blue tit)
Lineage: Eukaryota; Metazoa; Chordata; Aves; Passeriformes; Paridae
Source: Ensembl